UANCACACGCAAGUCGAACGAUGACGAAGAGCUUGCUCUUUUGAUUAGUGGCGCACGGGUGAGUAUACCAUAGAUAAUGUACCCCUUAGUUCGGGAUAGCCACUGGAAACGGUGAUUAAUACCGGAUACUCCUUCUCAUUAUAAGAUGAGUCGGGAAAGUUUUUUCGCUAAGGGAUCAGUCUAUGUCCUAUCAGCUAGUUGGUGAGGUAAUGGCUCACCAAGGCUAUGACGGGUAUCUGGUUUGAGAGGAUGAUCAGACACACUGGAACUGAGACACGGUCCAGACUCCUACGGGAGGCAGCAGUGAGGAAUAUUGCACAAUGGAGGAAACUCCGAUGCAGCAACGCCGCGUGGAGGAUGACGCAUUUCGGUGUGUAAACUCCUUUUAUUAGGGAAGAUAAUGACGGUACCUAAUGAAUAAGCACCGGCUAACUCCGUGCCAGCAGCCGCGGUAAUACGGAGGGUGCAAGCGUUACUCGGAAUCACUGGGCGUAAAGGGUGCGUAGGCUGGCUUCUAAGUCAGAUGUGAAAUCCAAUGGCUCAACCAUUGAACUGCAUUUGAAACUGGGAGCCUAGAGUUCAGAAGGGGCAGAUGGAAUUAGUGGUGUAGGGGUAAAAUCNCGUAGAUAUCACUAGGAAUAUCAAAAGCGAAGGCGAUCUGCUGGGAUGAUACUGACGCUGAGGCACGAAAGCGUGGGGAGCAAACAGGAUUAGAUACCCCUGGUAGUCCACGCCCCUAAACGAUGAAUGCUAGUCGUCGGGA
This 763-nucleotide ribosomal RNA is filed under the name uncultured bacterium. RNAcentral's name for it is "bacterial SSU rRNA". It matches the Rfam family "Bacterial small subunit ribosomal RNA", at positions 49 to 828 of the family's 1533-position model. The record is from RNAcentral.